GACGAACGCUGGCGGCGCGCCUAACACAUGCAAGUCGAACGAGCGAGAGAGAGCUUGCUUUCUUGAGCGAGUGGCGAACGGGUGAGUAACGCGUGAGGAACCUGCCUCAAAGAAGGGGACAACAGUUGGAAACGACUGCUAAUACCGCAUAAGCCCACGGGUCGGCAUCGACCAGAGGGAAAAGGAGCAAUCCGCUUUGAGAUGGCCUCGCGUCCGAUUAGCUAGUUGGUGAGGUAAUGGCCCACCAAGGCGACGAUCGGUAGCCGGACUGAGAGGUUGAACGGCCACAUUGGGACUGAGACACGGCCCAGACUCCUACGGGAGGCAGCAGUGGGGAAUAUUGCACAAUGGGGGAAACCCUGAUGCAGCGACGCCGCGUGGAGGAAGAAGGUCUUCGGAUUGUAAACUCCUGUUGUUGGGGAAGAUAAUGACGGUACCCAACAAGGAAGUGACGGCUAACUACGUGCCAGCAGCCGCGGUAAAACGUAGGUCACAAGCGUUGUCCGGAAUUACUGGGUGUAAAGGGAGCGCAGGCGGGAAGACAAGUUGGAAGUGAAAUCUAUGGGCUCAACCCAUAAACUGCUUUCAAAACUGUUUUUCUUGAGUAGUGCAGAGGUAGGCGGAAUUCCCGGUGUAGCGGUGGAAUGCGUAGAUAUCGGGAGGAACACCAGUGGCGAAGGCGGCCUACUGGGCACCAACUGACGCUGAGGCUCGAAAGUGUGGGUAGCAAACAGGAUUAGAUACCCUGGUAGUCCACACCGUAAACGAUGAUUACUAGGUGUUGGAGGAUUGACCCCUUCAGUGCCGCAGUUAACACAAUAAGUAAUCCACCUGGGGAGUACGACCGCAAGGUUGAAACUCAAAGGAAUUGACGGGGGCCCGCACAAGCAGUGGAGUAUGUGGUUUAAUUCGACGCAACGCGAAGAACCUUACCAAGUCUUAACAUCCCUUGACAGGCAUAGAAAUAUGUUUUCUCUUCGGAGCAAGGAGACAGGUGGUGCAUGGUUGUCGUCAGCUCGUGUCGUGAGAUGUUGGGUUAAGUCCCGCAACGAGCGCAACCCUUAUGGUCAGUUACUACGCAAGAGGACUCUGGCCAGACUGCCGUUGACAAAACGGAGGAAGGUGGGGAUGACGUCAAAUCAUCAUGCCCUUUAUGACUUGGGCUACACACGUACUACAAUGGCGUUAAACAAAGAGAAGCAAGACCGCGAGGUGGAGCAAAACUCAGAAACAACGUCCCAGUUCGGACUGCAGGCUGCAACUCGCCUGCACGAAGUCGGAAUUGCUAGUAAUCGUGGAUCAGCAUGCCACGGUGAAUACGUUCCCGGGCCUU
Molecule: ribosomal RNA, 1333 nt
Filed under: uncultured bacterium
Lineage: Bacteria
Description: bacterial SSU rRNA
Rfam family: Bacterial small subunit ribosomal RNA
Source: RNAcentral